AAAUUUGAGAUAGGUUCGAAGAUGAUUAUCUUUGGAACUUGGUUUUCUUGAUGUAUAUGAUUAAAUUUGGUGCAUAUGUAAUUAAGUGUGCACUGGACCAAUAAAAAACAUUGAAACCUUAUAUAAUAUAUCUUCUUAUGACACAUUAUUAUUUAAAUAAACAAACAAACAAAACUUUAAAAGCGUUUGCGUUCAGCGUUCAGCGUUCAGCGUUUGCGUUCGACGUUUAGAGUUGGCACAAAAUCCACCAAAUUAAAACCAUUCAGGCGGAGGAUUCAAUAUAUCUCACAGUUUCACUCUCAACAUUUCAAUAUCUCUCUCUCUCUCUGUGAAGAACAAAUACAGCGUUUCUUCUGCGAUUAGAUCUAUUUCGAUACUCACGAGGAUUGCCUCCUGAGGAGACUACAUAUACUAAACAAAAUACAAGCUGAGGAGACUAAAUAUAUUUAGUUAAUACCAAUAAUAUAUGAUAUACAACUACAUAUUUACAAACAAAGAAAAUAUAGUAGAUUUGUAAUAUAUACAUAAUUGAGAUUUGAUGAUUGAUUAAACCAAGAAUACCGUGCGUAGCACGGGUACUGACAUAGUAUGUGUAUUAUUCUGAACUUCAUAAG
Molecule: small RNA, 614 nt
Filed under: Arabidopsis thaliana (thale cress)
Lineage: Eukaryota; Viridiplantae; Streptophyta; Magnoliopsida; Brassicales; Brassicaceae
Description: ATSL277560
Source: RNAcentral